Long non-coding RNA from Lagenorhynchus albirostris (white-beaked dolphin), 992 nucleotides. RefSeq lists it as uncharacterized. The record is from RefSeq and is a predicted model, not a curated record. NCBI's taxonomy places the organism in Eukaryota, Metazoa, Chordata, Mammalia, Artiodactyla, Delphinidae. The transcript is spliced from 8 exons.
AGGGAUGCUCUGGAAUUAUAAUAGAUGUAUGCGUGAGCAGCCUGGCAAGAAUCAUUUUCAAACACCCUGCAUCCCUGGUGUCAGGGGAGGUGAUCCAGGAGACCACAUCUGAGCUGCCGUGCAGGGUCGCCCUCCAACAUUACUGCCCAUGUCUGCAGCCCGUGACUACGAAGUCUUUGUUCCUGUGAACUUGGCUGCCAUGUGUGAUUCUGACUGACGACAGAGAGGAGCCCUGGGCUCGGGUGGCAGGUGCAAGCUUCAGGGAAGUACGCAUUAUUCACAAUAGCCAAGAUAUGGAAGUAAUCCAGACAUCCAUCAACAGAAGAACAGAUUAAGAAAAUGUGGAGCUUUUAAUUACUUGAGAUGACAAUUUUUAUGUAUCUUUCCCUUCACAAAUGGACACUGGAUUUCUUUAUGCCAUCCAUCCCCCUACCUAGGACACUGUCUCCAAGUUACAGGUCUGAAGUGAAGCAGGUGAAUCUACAGUUUUCAAAAGCUCACCAGCUGAGUCUACUGCACUUCUAGAGCUGGAAUCAGGAGUCGGGCUCAGCAGUUCAUGUUGUAGUAAGCUAGGACACACACCGCAGGUGACUGAAGUGAGAGGGGCUGCUCUGGCCUGUGUGUUUUCAAGAUGGCAAACCUGCUUGCCUAGGUGGCACUGGAGUCUGGAGACAGCAGGAAGAGAGACCACAUUCACGUUGUUCAGACAACCUGUCCGCAAGGCCCAAGGAGCUCUGCUAUUAAGCAGUGAGCACUCUGGCCCCCUUUCGCUGCCUGCAUUGGACACGAUGGAACUAGAAGCUUCUGAAAGCAGAUGAAAGACUCCAAACCUCAGAAGCCAUUUCUACGACACCCUCCUGAGUUGAAUCCUGUGACAAGAGCAGAGAAAGUGUGUCUAGCAAAGAAAAUUGUUUAACACAAAGUUGGGAAACUGUAGGUCAUUUAGGACAAGUUCAUAUUGUCAAAUUUGGUUGAAAUAUAUUGGUGGGCAA